This 250-nucleotide ribosomal RNA is filed under the name uncultured bacterium. RNAcentral's name for it is "partial 16S ribosomal RNA". It matches the Rfam family "Bacterial small subunit ribosomal RNA", at positions 524 to 773 of the family's 1533-position model. The record is from RNAcentral.
UACAGAGGGUGCGAGCGUUAAUCGGAAUUACUGGGCGUAAAGCGCACGUAGGUGGAUAAGUAAGUCGAAUGUGAAAGCCCUGGGCUCAACCUAGGAAUUGCAUACGAUACUGUUUAUCUAGAGUAUGGUAGAGGGAAGUAGAAUUUCUGGUGUAGCGGUGAAAUGCGUAGAUAUCAGAAGGAAUAUCAGUGGCGAAGGCGACUUCCUGGACUAAUACUGACACUGAGGAGCGAAAGCGUGGGGAGCAAAC